This 260-nucleotide unclassified non-coding RNA is filed under the name uncultured fungus. RNAcentral describes it as "partial contains 5.8S ribosomal RNA, internal transcribed spacer 2, and large subunit ribosomal RNA". The record is from RNAcentral. Lineage: Eukaryota; Fungi.
AACGCACAUUGCGCCCCCUGGCAUUCCGGGGGGCAUGCCUGUCCGAGCGUCAUUGCUAACCCUCCAGCCCGGCUGGUGUGUUGGGCCGCCGUCCCCCCGGGGACGGGCCCGAAAGGCAGCGGCGGCGCCGCGUCCGGUCCUCGAGCGUAUGGGGCUCUGUCACGCGCUUCUAGGCCGGCCGGCUUGCUGGCCAACGACCUCACGGUCACCUCACUUCUCAGGUUGACCUCGGAUCAGGUAGGGAUACCCGCUGAACUUAA